Molecule: non-coding RNA, 1971 nt
Filed under: Oscillibacter valericigenes Sjm18-20
Lineage: Bacteria; Bacillati; Bacillota; Clostridia; Eubacteriales; Oscillospiraceae
Source: RNAcentral
AAAGGUGCGUGAGGCAUUGAGAAAUCCAAUUGAUGUGUUAAACAGUCUGAAAACAAAAGCGUGUAAUGAGAGCUAUCAUUAUGAACGCCUGUACCGGAAUCUGUAUAAUGAGGAAUUUUUCCUGCUGGCUUAUCAAAAUAUCUACGCCGGUGAGGGGAACAUGACCGCAGGAGCAGACGGAAAAACCAUAGACGGUAUGGGCAUGGACAGGAUACAAACGCUGAUAGAGAGCCUAAAAAAUCACAGCUAUCAGCCAAACCCCGCACGCCGCACCUACAUCGAAAAGAAGAAUGGGAAGAAACGCCCGCUGGGUAUUCCCUCUUUUGACGACAAGCUGGUGCAGGAGGUCGUGCGUAUGAUUUUAGAGAGUAUUUAUGAGCCGACAUUUUCCAAUCUGUCACAUGGCUUUCGCCCGAACCGGAGCUGUCACACCGCUUUGCAACAAAUCCAAGGCACUUUCACAGGGGUAAAGUGGUUCAUAGAGGGCGACAUCUGCGGAUUUUUUGAUAACAUUGACCACACUGUACUGAUAAACAUUCUGCGCAGACGAAUCCAUGACGAGUAUUUCAUUGCUUUGCUGUGGAAAUUUCUGAAAGCAGGAUAUGUAGAGGACUGGAAGUUUCACAAUACGUAUUCCGGCACUCCGCAAGGCUCCAUCAUCAGUCCAAUUCUAUCGAAUAUCUAUUUAAACGAGCUGGAUAGGUUCAUGGAGCUGUAUAUGAAGCAAUUCCAAAGUGGGAAAAAGCGUCAGAAAUCCGAAGAAUACGCAAGCUGGGAACACAAGCUCAAAUACCUGCGGUACAGCAAAUACACAAAGGGAAAAUGGGCAGAUUUGACAGUCGAGAAACGGAAAACAGCCAAUGAAAGCAUACAGGUUAUCCGAAAUGAAAUGCUGAAAUGCGAUUACUCUGACCCGCAGGACAGCGGCUAUCGCCGGUUGUUUUAUGUCCGUUAUGCGGAUGAUUGGCUGUGCGGAGUGACUGGCAGUAAGCAGGACGCAGAGGAAAUAAAGGCAGACAUUCAGCGGUUCCUUUCAGAAACGCUGAAGCUGGAGCUGUCCGAGGAAAAGACGCUGAUAACCAAUGCCCGUGAUACGGCACGUUUUUUGAGCUAUGAUAUUUUCGUUGCAGACAAUGAUAAUCUGCGUGAAGAUAAAAAUGGUUACACAAGGCGUGUCCAUAACGGCAAGGUGAAGCUGUAUGUUCCCCGUGAAAAGUGGCAGAAAAAGCUCACGGAUUACCAAGCUCUCGAAAUCAAGUAUCAAAAUGGCAAAGAAAUUUUCGUUCCUGUUCACCGAACCUAUCUCAUCAACAAUGACGACCUUGAGAUAUUACAGCAGUAUAACGCUGAAAUCAGAGGACUUUACAAUUAUUAUAAAAUCGCUGACAACGUGAGCGUCCUCGGUCACUUCAAUUACGUGAUGAAAUUCAGCAUGUUCAAGACCUUUGGAGCAAAAUAUAAGCUCCAUAUCAGCGGUGUUCGGAAGAAGUACGGUUACAAGCGGUUUGGUGUUAGAUAUCAGACCAAGCAAGGUGAAAAAACGCUGUAUUUCUAUGAGGACGGCUUUAAAAAGGUCAAAAAUGCUGUUGCAAGUCCAGAGGUUGAUUCUGUUCCCAAGGUAUACCGCAACAACAACCCGACCAGUCUGAUUUCACGGUUGAGAGCCAAGCACUGUGAAUGGUGCGGGGCGACCAACGUGAAGCUGGAAAUUCACCAUGUUAAAAAGCUCAAGGACCUAAAGGGGAAAAAACGUUGGGAACGGCUGAUGAUAGCUCGAAAACGUAAGACACUUGCAUUGUGCGUGCAGUGUCACGAUAGUUUGCACGCUGGAAAAUUAGACUGAUAGAUAAAUGGAGAGCCGGAUACAUUGAGAGGUGUAAGUCCGGUUCGGGGGCGGGUGCUUGGAAACCUGCCGCUGUGAAGCGGUAAGGCGCUGGGUACCCAGCCUACUAAAAAUUUUAAUGGCCGUAG